AACGCGAAGAACCUUACCUAAGCUUGACAUCCUUUUGACCGAUGCCUAAUCGCAUCUUUCCCUUCGGGGACAGAAGUGACAGGUGGUGCAUGGUUGUCGUCAGCUCGUGUCGUGAGAUGUUGGGUUAAGUCCCGCAACGAGCGCAACCCUUGCCUUUAGUUGCCAGCAUUAAGUUGGGCACUCUAGAGGGACUGCCAGGGAUAACCUGGAGGAAGGUGGGGAUGACGUCAAAUCAUCAUGCCCCUUAUGCUUAGGGCUACACACGUGCUACAAUGGGUGGUACAGAGGGCAGCCAAGUCGUGAGGCCGAGCUAAUCCCUUAAAGCCAUUCUCAGUUCGGAUUGUAGGCUGAAACUCGCCUACAUGAAGCUGGAGUUACUAGUAAUCGCAGAUCAGAAUGCUGCGGUGAAUGCGUUCCCGGGCCUGUACACACCG
RNAcentral lists this ribosomal RNA (434 nucleotides) under uncultured bacterium. Its description in RNAcentral is "bacterial SSU rRNA". It matches the Rfam family "Bacterial small subunit ribosomal RNA", at positions 958 to 1392 of the family's 1533-position model. The record is from RNAcentral.